GAUGAACGCUGGCGGCGUGCCUAAUACAUGCAAGUCGAGCGAACAGACGAGGAGCUUGCUCCUUUGACGUUAGCGGCGGACGGGUGAGUAACACGUAGGUAACCUACCUAUAAGACUGGGAUAACUUCGGGAAACCGGAGCUAAUACCGGAUAAUAUUUCGAACCGCAUGGUUCGAUAGUGAAAGAUGGCCUUGCUAUCACUUAUAGAUGGAUCUGCGCCGCAUUAGCUAGUUGGUAAGGUAACGGCUUACCAAGGCAACGAUACGUAGCCGACCUGAGAGGGUGAUCGGCCACACUGGAACUGAGACACGGUCCAGACUCCUACGGGAGGCAGCAGUAGGGAAUCUUCCGCAAUGGGCGAAAGCCUGACGGAGCAACGCCGCGUGAGUGAUGAAGGUCUUCGGAUCGUAAAACUCUGUUAUUAGGGAAGAACAAACGUGUAAGUAACUGUGCACGUCUUGACGGUACCUAAUCAGAAAGCCACGGCUAACUACGUG
RNAcentral lists this ribosomal RNA (497 nucleotides) under uncultured bacterium. RNAcentral describes it as "partial 16S ribosomal RNA". It matches the Rfam family "Bacterial small subunit ribosomal RNA", at positions 28 to 507 of the family's 1533-position model. The record is from RNAcentral.